This 75-nucleotide transfer RNA is filed under the name candidate division WWE3 bacterium CG_4_10_14_0_2_um_filter_47_8. RNAcentral describes it as "tRNA-His". It matches the Rfam family "tRNA". From Rfam's summary of the family: Transfer RNA (tRNA) molecules are approximately 80 nucleotides in length. Their secondary structure includes four short double-helical elements and three loops (D, anti-codon, and T loops). The record is from RNAcentral. Lineage: Bacteria; candidate division WWE3. RNAcentral also lists the same sequence under 2 other names.
GUGCUCGUAGCUCAAGGGUAGAGCGCUUGCCUGUGGAGCAAGCGGUUGCCGGUUCGAGUCCGGUCGAGCACCCCA